AGAGAGAUAAAGAGAAACAGACAGACAGAAAGCAACGUAAUGGUAUGACAACAUAAGGAGAGAGAAAGAGAGAGAAACGGAGAACGAGAUCGUAACCUUGUAACGUUGUGUAUAUUUAUACGUUUUGUAGGAUCUCUUUUUCUCUCUGUUUUUAAUAAAGGACGAAAAAUCGUUUCAGUUUCUCUAUAUUUUGAAAAUGAACCGUGUGCUAUCUUCGAGUGCGUGCCAACUGAUGCUAACUAAUCGCGUCACGCGCGUUUUCGCGAUAGAAAUCGCGCGUGUAUGGGUGCGUGCACUCAUACACACUCUUCCGUUUUAUAUUUGUAGAUGCGUAUUGGUUGAUUCGCUGUUCGAUCGGAACGAUGUGUCUAUUUACAAUGAAAAUACAAAUUCGAGCUGCCGUACGUAUCCAUGUACGUCGCGUUCUCUUUGAAUUUGAAUGUUUGUUUUGAGAAAGUAACGCGACUCCGUUUCGUGUCUAGUAAUCCGAAAACGGCAACGAUGACGUCUUCCUCUCUCUCUAUCUCUCUCUUUCUCUCUCUCUCUCUCCCUCCCUCUUCCUCUCUCUAUCUAUCCAUCUAUCUAUCUAUCUCUCUCUACCAUUGCGAUUUUCGAGGUUAUGUGAAUCGAAUACGUAAACAUGGCGAUGGAGUAGUCAAUUGUCAAAGACCGCGAACAUUUGAUUUUGUAUCGUACGAAAACGUAUUAAAAUUGUUUCAAUUAUUUGUUUAA
Molecule: long non-coding RNA, 732 nt
Organism: Vespula pensylvanica (western yellowjacket)
Lineage: Eukaryota; Metazoa; Arthropoda; Insecta; Hymenoptera; Vespidae
Exons: 2
Source: RefSeq, a predicted model, not a curated record